UCCUACGGGAGGCAGCAGUGGGGAAUAUUGGACAAUGGACCACAAGUCUGAUCCAGCAAUUCUGUGUGCACGAUGACGUUUUUCGGAAUGUAAAGUGCUUUCAGUCGGGAAGAAGUCAGUGACGGUACCGACAGAAGAAGCGACGGCUAAAUACGUGCCAGCAGCCGCGGUAAUACGUAUGUCGCAAGCGUUAUCCGGAUUUAUUGGGCGUAAAGCGCGUCUAGGCGGCAAGGAAAGUCUGAUGUGAAAAUGCGGAGCUCAACUCCGUAUGGCGUUGGAAACUGCCUUACUAGAGUACUGGAGAGGUAGGCGGAACUACAAGUGUAGAGGUGAAAUUCGCAGAUAUUUGUAGGAAUGCCGAUGGGGAAGCCAGCCUACUGGACAGAUACUGACGCUAAAGCGCGAAAGCGUGGGUAGCAAACAGGAUUAGAUACCCUGGUAGUCC
This 445-nucleotide ribosomal RNA is filed under the name uncultured bacterium. RNAcentral's name for it is "bacterial SSU rRNA". It matches the Rfam family "Bacterial small subunit ribosomal RNA", at positions 337 to 796 of the family's 1533-position model. The record is from RNAcentral.